GAUGAACGCUGGCGGCGUGCCUAAUACAUGCAAGUCGAGCGAACGGACGAGAAGCUUGCUUCUCUGAUGUUAGCGGCGGACGGGUGAGUAACACGUGGAUAACCUACCUAUAAGACUGGGAUAACUUCGGGAAACCGGAGCUAAUACCGGAUGAUAUUUUGAACCGCAUGGUUCAAAAGUGAAAGACGGUCUUGCUGUCACUUAUAGAUGGAUCCGCGCUGCAUUAGCUAGUUGGUAAGGUAACGGCUUACCAAGGCAACGAUGCAUAGCCGACCUGAGAGGGUGAUCGGCCACACUGGAACUGAGACACGGUCCAGACUCCUACGGGAGGCAGCAGUAGGGAAUCUUCCGCAAUGGGCGAAAGCCUGACGGAGCAACGCCGCGUGAGUGAUGAAGGUCUUCGGAUCGUAAAACUCUGUUAUUAGGGAAGAACAUAUGUGUAAGUAACUGUGCACAUCUUGACGGUACCUAAUCAGAAAGCCACGGCUAACUACGUGCCAGCAGCCGCGGUAAUACGUAGGUGGCAAGCGUUAUCCGGAAUUAUUGGGCGUAAAGCGCGCGUAGGCGGUUUUUUAAGUCUGAUGCGAAAGCCCACGGCUCAACCGUGGAGGGUCAUUGGAAACUGGAAAACUUGAGUGCAGAAGAGGAAAGUGGAAUUCCAUGUGUAGCGGUGAAAUGCGCAGAGAUAUGGAGGAACACCAGUGGCGAAGGCGACUUUCUGGUCUGUAACUGACGCUGAUGUGCGAAAGCGUGGGGAUCAAACAGGAUUAGAUACCCUGGUAGUCCACGCCGUAAACGAUGAGUGCUAAGUGUUAGGGGGUUUCCGCCCCUUAGUGCUGCAGCUAACGCAUUAAGCACUCCGCCUGGGGAGUACGACCGCAAGGUUGAAACUCAAAGGAAUUGACGGGGACCCGCACAAGCGGUGGAGCAUGUGGUUUAAUUCGAAGCAACGCGAAGAACCUUACCAAAUCUUGACAUCCUUUGACAACUCUAGAGAUAGAGCCUUCCCCUUCGGGGGACAAAGUGACAGGUGGUGCAUGGUUGUCGUCAGCUCGUGUCGUGGGAUGUUGGGUUAAGUCCCGCAACGAGCGCAACCCUUAAGCUUAGUUGCCAUCAUUAAGUUGGGCACUCUAAGUUGACUGCCGGUGACAAACCGGAGGAAGGUGGGGAUGACGUCAAAUCAUCAUGCCCCUUAUGAUUUGGGCUACACACGUGCUACAAUGGACAAUACAAAGGGCAGCGAAACCGCGAGGUCAAGCAAAUCCCAUAAAGUUGUUCUCAGUUCGGAUUGUAGUCUGCAACUCGACUACAUGAAGCUGGAAUCGCUAGUAAUCGUAGAUCAGCAUGCUACGGUGAAUACGUUCCCGGGUCU
RNAcentral lists this ribosomal RNA (1372 nucleotides) under uncultured bacterium. Its description in RNAcentral is "bacterial SSU rRNA". It matches the Rfam family "Bacterial small subunit ribosomal RNA", at positions 28 to 1381 of the family's 1533-position model. The record is from RNAcentral.